Molecule: non-coding RNA, 703 nt
Organism: Cricetulus griseus (Chinese hamster)
Lineage: Eukaryota; Metazoa; Chordata; Mammalia; Rodentia; Cricetidae
Source: RefSeq, a predicted model, not a curated record
CGAGUGCUGAGAUUAAAGACAUGUGCCACCACUACCCAGGCAUUUACUUUUGAGAGAUGAUUUUAUGUAGGUGUCAAACUUACUGUAUAGCUAAGGACCCAAUACUCCUGCUUCUGCUUCCCAAGUACUGAGAUUGCAGGCAUGCACAACCAUCCCUGUUAUUUUUUUUUCCAGGUGCUAACAUUCCAUCCCUGGUUUGUAUGGUGCUGGGGGAUUGAACCUAGGUCCUUGGUCAUGCUGGGCCUGCAAGGUGCCCACCAUGGAGCACGGCUCACCUCUCUUGGAUGAAGCCCAGAGAGCCCUCGGUGCACAGACCGUAGGAAAUCACCCAGCUGAAGAGCUCAUUUUCUUUCAGGAUCAGUGUUGGAAGCUGCUGCGAUUCAAACGAGCAAAUGUUAGCUUCGAGAGGAAAUUGAUAAUUAUGCGAGGUCUGUUAAAUGAUCGUUGGCCAAGCACAUUUCAUUCCUUCAAAUGAGCUCGUGUCUACAGUUGUGGCAAUCGUUCACAGGCCAGGAAAGAAAACCAGCUCAGAUGAGGAUGGGCAUCACUUCCAAUAGGUCGUCGAGGUUCGAAGCACCUGGAAAGAAGUCAUCCGUUGGAGGCUGCAAACCAGAUUUAGUUGUAAUGUGAAUGAUUAGCCUAUAUUAACUCAUAAAUUAGAUACAUUAUCCUAAACUGCACUGAAUAAAUAUUGAGUAUGUAA